Molecule: long non-coding RNA, 1771 nt
Organism: Cavia porcellus (domestic guinea pig)
Lineage: Eukaryota; Metazoa; Chordata; Mammalia; Rodentia; Caviidae
Exons: 4
Source: RefSeq, a predicted model, not a curated record
CUUGUCUUAGUUUCUUUUUCCAUGGCCUAUCAAGAUAUGGAAGACAAAAUUUAACCAGGGCUGAGAAAGUCAGAUAAUUCCAAGGGUAAAGGUUUCCAGUGGCAUUUUGUGGACCGGCUCUGCCUCCACCAUCCUGCCAGAGGGCAAGGAGGUCUCUCCGGGAAGCCAGCAGACUCCAGUCCCACAAGAACCUUCCCAAGAAGGAUGAAGCCAGACAUGCAGAGAGAAUCUGAAGUGCUUCGUAACUGCAGGCCACAGAAGGAAAGAAAUGAAAGAUUUCCUACUUCAACAAAUAUGUGUGCCUUUUCCAAGUCACUGCUUCACGCCUGGAUCUCUGAAGCAGACCCAAAAGGCCCAAGUGCUCUGGGUUCAGGUGCUCUUUCUGCGUGGACAAUUAAGUGAAAGUUACAUGUCAACUCACAGACUGAUGCAAUGAAAUAACUUCUUUUUCCAUUUGGGAAUAAAAUUAUUCUUAGUAGCUUUUUAGAGCCUUGAUUAAAAGAUAAGCAUAAAAUAUGCCAAGAAUGAUGUCUGAAGACUUGGGAUAACAAUGAGCUGGGGAUGAUUAUUUCAAGAGUUUCAAGGCAAGGAGAAACCCAUAUUUUCUUAAGACAAAUGUGAGCAGCAUAUGCUUUUCAUUGUGCCCCUUUCCAGCCAUUUACAUAUCAGGGAAAUAUAUAUUUGGCGACAGAUCCUAUUUUUAGGAGACCUUGAGACCUGCCCUUUGAAAAUGUUUUCAUUUCUGGCACAUAUGAGUGUUUUAAGCAGAAUGCAAACACAAAGCAAAAAAAAACAAAAAAAAAAAAAAAAGAAAAGAAAAAUAUGUACAGAAAGAAAUGAUUUUUCCAGCUCCAUGUAGCACAAUAAGAAAACAAUCACUCGGUUGUGACUUCAGAAAUGGAUUCUUGCCUAGAUUUUCCAACUAUUUCCUUCUAAAUGCCUGCUUCUCUACAGAACUGAACUAAUGUAAAGAGACAGGUUGUUCCAGUGCCAGAAAUGAACAACAAAAAAUGAGGGAGGCUGUGUUUCCUGGGGAGGAACUUAACCAAAUAAUGCCCACUGUGUCGUCCUGCAGCUCUCAGGUGAAUUUAGAAGAAGCUGCCAUACCCACUGCAUGGUAUGGGGUGCAUAUUCCUGGCUUGACUCCGGAUCACCAUCAAGAUUUCUAUUAUUUGCAGUCAGUAACAAAGAUUCAUUCUUGUGUCAAUCACACAACAAGGAGAAUCUUUGUCACUUCAUGUAAUUAAUAGCUGAGCCACGCAUGGAAAGGUGGGAGACAAUGCUCUUCAUACCCAACUCCAGUGCCUUCAGGACUGGCUGCCACGAUCUUUGUGGCUUUUUAACCAACUAAGACACCAAAAUUCGGCAGAGAUGGAAACGGGCACAACUAUGGGUGAAGACAAUAGACAAUGGAUGGAAAUGCAACUGAUUUUGCCCAGGGCCUGCAGGUUGCUCAUGAAACUGCCAAGUCAAGAGAGAGAAGAAAAAAAACCCCACAAUUAUGGUUAAGCGUCAUCCAGCUCCCGGGCUGUGCAGCAGAACACCCAUGGGGCUGUCCAAGAGAGCCUCCCAGGGAGACUGCGCAGGUUCCUUCACAGAGACCACAGGGAACGAGAGGGCAGUGGAAGGAACAUGAACGGCCUCAAGUAGCAGCCUGCUCUUGGCAGGAGCUGCUGCUCAUUUUCUUUGGCUGGCUCUCACUACCUGUCUGAAAGCGCUGCGAUGCAGGAAGGAAAUUUUUCAAGAGAUUAAACUAUUAUUGUUUCCUGUG